AUGGCGUCCCGCAAUGCUGCUACUCCUGCGUUCAGCUACGAGCCCUCACCAUGGAUCGACUUCUUUGCUGGAUAUGAGCCACCGCUGCUACAGUAUCUACUACCCGGCCUAUGCUGGGCCGGCCCAAGAGGUGCCAAAAUGUACACCAUGCACCCACUACUUGCAGGCCCGAGUAGGAACACAUUUCUAAUUAGCAUCCGUGCUCCUCUAGAGAUCCAUGUCAACCGGUUGCUUAUCAAAUCCAAGCAGUGGAUGACGCUUAGGGCAAAAGAACUGAAGGAAGACAUAUUUGCCCUUCGGUUUCGCUUGCUGAGGGAACAUGGACACUGGGUAUCUCCAGAUGUUUUCAAUCAAUUCAAAAGUGAAGAUGGAAGCUUCAUCAAGGAUAUAACAAAUGAACCCAGGACACUAUUAUGUCUAUACAAUGCGUCUCAUCUUCUAAUUCAUGGUGAGCCAGCACUCGAAGAAGCCAUAGCUUUGGGAAGGCAUCAUCUUGAAUCAUGUAGUGGUACUUUAAAGACCCCACUAGCUCAACAAGUCCAACGUGCCCUUCACAUAGCAAUGCCAAGGACAAAUAAGAGGGUGGAAAUGCUACAUUAUAUCCAAGAGUACGAACAAGAGGAGCAUAACCCGAUGCUACUGGAACUUGCCAAAUUGGAUUUCAACCUUCAGCAAAAUGUCCACUCGAAGGAGCUCAAAGUUAUUACCAGAUGGGAUAAGAGCGCCGCUUUUCUCCUGCCGGAGUACUUGAAGAAGUUCUAUAUGGAGAUGCUGAGGACAUUUGACAAUAUUGAGGCUGAAAUGCCAACCAAUACGAACUACGAUAUAGCACACCUGAAAAAAGCGGUCCAAAAGAACGUGACUGGUUACCUGCAAGAAGCGAAAUGGUCACACAGGAACCACAAGCCAAGCUUUGUAGAUCAGGUCAAGUUGACUAGCCUGAACAUUGGUGUGCCAACGAUAUGUGUGAGUAUGAUGGCUGGAAUGAGUGAUGCAAUGAUGAAGCCAGCACUCAAAUGGGCUGCUAGUGUUCCGGAUGUCGUCAUAUCAGUCGGGAAGAUUUCCCGUUUCAUGAAUGAUAUCGGUGCAUUUGAGCGUAGAAAAUGCAAGGGGGAUCUGGCAAGCACUGUAGAGUGUUACAUCAAUGAGUACAACGUGACAAGUGAAGUGGCCAUUACCAAAAUUGUUGCCCUGAUAGAACAAGAAUGGAAGACUCUGAACCAAGCUCGCUUUGAAAAUCAUCUUCUCCCUGCAUUGCAGCAGUUCAUUAGCUUAGCGAUUAGCACAACAUUUUUCUAUGGUAACAGAAAUGAUGUAUACACGCACAGCGCACAUAUGCAGUGGACUAUUGAGAGGCUCUUCCUGAAGAAUAUUGCAAGAAAGUUGUAG
This 1389-nucleotide ribosomal RNA is filed under the name Triticum aestivum (bread wheat). RNAcentral's name for it is "partial small subunit ribosomal RNA". Lineage: Eukaryota; Viridiplantae; Streptophyta; Magnoliopsida; Poales; Poaceae. The record is from RNAcentral.